Melanotaenia boesemani (Boeseman's rainbowfish) is the source of this 402-nucleotide long non-coding RNA. RefSeq lists it as uncharacterized. The transcript is spliced from 3 exons. NCBI's taxonomy places the organism in Eukaryota, Metazoa, Chordata, Actinopteri, Atheriniformes, Melanotaeniidae. The record is from RefSeq and is a predicted model, not a curated record.
CGGUCUGAGCUCAGAUAGGUCGGUUCGGGUGGGUCCGGUCUGAGCUCAGAUAGGUCGGUUCGGGUGGGUCCGGUCUGAGCUCAGAUAGGUCGGUUCGGGUGGGUCCGGUCUGAGCUCAGAUAGGUCGGUUCGGGUGGGUCCGGUCUGAGCUCAGAUAGGUCGGUUCGAGUGGGUCCGGUCUGAGCUCAGAUAGGUCGGUUCCGGUGGGUCCAGUCUGAGCUCAGAUAGGUCGGUUCCGGUGGGUCCGGUCUGAGCUCAGAUAGGUCGGUUCCGGUGGGUCCAGUCUGAGCUCAGAUAGGUCGGUUCCGGUGGGUCCGGUCUGAGCUCAGAUAGGUCGGUUCCGGUGGGUCCAGUCUGAGCUCAGAUAGGUCGGUUCCGGUGGGUCCGGUCUGAGCUCAGAUA